RNAcentral lists this ribosomal RNA (374 nucleotides) under uncultured bacterium. Its description in RNAcentral is "bacterial SSU rRNA". It matches the Rfam family "Bacterial small subunit ribosomal RNA", at positions 28 to 402 of the family's 1533-position model. The record is from RNAcentral.
GACGAACGCUGGCGGCGUGCUUAACACAUGCAAGUCGAGCGGUAAGGCCCUUUUGGGGGUACACGAGCGGCGAACGGGUGAGUAACACGUGGGUGACCUGCCCUCAGCUCUGGGAUAAGCCUGGGAAACUGGGUCUAAUACUGGAUAUGACCUUUCCUCGCAUGGGGGUUGGGGUGGAAAGUUUUUCGGCGUGGGGAUGGGCCCGCGGCCUAUCAGCUUGUUGGUGGGGUGAUGGCCUACCAAGGCGACGACGGGUAGCCGGCCUGAGAGGGCGACCGGCCACACUGGGACUGAGACACGGCCCAGACUCCUACGGGAGGCAGCAGUGGGGAAUAUUGCGCAAUGGGCGGAAGCCUGACGCAGCGACGCCGCGU